CCAGUUUCUGGGAGCCGACGGUGGGGCCAAGAGUAGGCGGGAUUUCUGCCCUCGCCAGCCCCUUCCCGCCGGCAGGACCUGGCUCCCAAGCACGCCAAGCUGCCGCGGCGUUAAUGCUACAUCACGUUGACCUGCCGGCUGCCGGGGGCUGGCUGGCCCCRUAACCUGCCUGCAGAGCAGUUGGGCUGACCCACAGCGAGGAAGAGCUUGCAGAUGCAUGUUGCUUUGCUGCCYUCCGUGCCGGCGGCUCCUCUGGCUCCCUCUUCCCUGGGCCCUGCCAGUGGGAGAGCCGAGGAAUGAGCCGACGCCAGCCCGGGGACCCCAUGGCUUCGCACACCCCGUGCUGGGACAUGGAUGCAGAGGAGGAGGAUGUCCAGAUGUGCCUGGCUCCCUUUCCUCGGCUACCCGCCAYGUACAGAGGAGGUGGGCACCAAGCAGCAGAGCAGCAGGAGGAGAGAGGAGCUUGGGAAGCCUGACGGAGGGCCGGGGCCAGCCAGAUCGGAGGGGGCUUGGAGCCAGCAGC
RNAcentral lists this long non-coding RNA (523 nucleotides) under Dromaius novaehollandiae (emu). Its description in RNAcentral is "lncRNA (ENSDNVG00000012325.1)". Lineage: Eukaryota; Metazoa; Chordata; Aves; Casuariiformes; Dromaiidae. The record is from RNAcentral.